This 502-nucleotide ribosomal RNA is filed under the name uncultured bacterium. RNAcentral describes it as "partial 16S ribosomal RNA". The record is from RNAcentral.
GGAGUUAGCCGGUGCUUCUUCUGUGAGUGAUGUCCUUCCUGCCGGCUAUUAACCCGCAGGCCUUCUUCCUCACUGAAAGUGCUUUACAACCCGAAGGCCUUCUUCACACACGCGGCAUGGCUGGAUCAGGGUUGCCCCCAUUGUCCAAUAUUCCCCACUGCUGCCUCCCGUAGGAGUCUGGGCCGUGUCUCAGUCCCAGUGUGGCUGAUCAUCCUCUCAGACCAGCUACGGAUCGUCGCCUUGGUGAGCCGUUACCUCACCAACCAGCUAAUCCGACAUAGGCUCAUCCGAUAGCGCGAGGCCCGAAGGUCCCCCGCUUUCCCCCGUAGGGCGUAUGCGGUAUUAGCCUGGGUUUCCCCAGGUUAUCCCCCACUACCGGGCAGAUUCCUAUGCAUUACUCACCCGUCCGCCGCUCGCCACCAGGGAGCAAGCUCCCCGUGCUGCCGCUCGACUUGCAUGUGUAGCNGCGCCACGCGUCAUCUGAGCAUAAUACAACUACUGA